RNAcentral lists this ribosomal RNA (450 nucleotides) under uncultured bacterium. RNAcentral's name for it is "partial 16S ribosomal RNA". It matches the Rfam family "Bacterial small subunit ribosomal RNA", at positions 354 to 796 of the family's 1533-position model. The record is from RNAcentral.
GUGGGGAAUUUUGGACAAUGGGCGCAAGCCUGAUCCAGCAAUGCCGCGUGCAGGAAGAAGGCCUUCGGGUUGUAAACUGCUUUUGUACGGAACGAAACGGCUCUGGUUAAUACCCGGGGCUAAUGACGGUACCGUAAGAAUAAGCACCGGCUAACUACGUGCCAGCAGCCGCGGUAAUACGUAGGGUGCAAGCGUUAAUCGGAAUUACUGGGCGAAAAGCGUGCGCAGGCGGUUGUGUAAGACAGGCGUGAAAGCCCCGGGCUCAACCUGGGAAUUGCGCUUGUGACUGCACAGCUGGAGUGCGGCAGAGGGGGAAGGAAUUCCGCGUGUAGCAGUGAAAUGCGUAGAUAUGCGGAGGAACACCGAUGGCGAAGGCAAUCCCCUGGGCCUGCACUGACGCUCAUGCACGAAAGCGUGGGGAGCAAACAGGAUUAGAUACCCUUGUAGUCC